This 232-nucleotide ribosomal RNA is filed under the name uncultured bacterium. RNAcentral's name for it is "partial 16S ribosomal RNA". It matches the Rfam family "Bacterial small subunit ribosomal RNA", at positions 99 to 334 of the family's 1533-position model. The record is from RNAcentral.
CGGACGGGUGAGUAAUGUCUGGGAAACUGCCCGAUGGAGGGGGAUAACUACUGGAAACGGUAGCUAAUACCGCAUAACGUCGCAAGACCAAAGAGGGGGACCUUAGGGCCUCUUGCCAUCGGAUGUGCCCAGAUGGGAUUAGCUAGUAGGUGAGGUAACGGCUUACCUAGGCGACGAUCCCUAGCUGGUCUGAGAGGAUGAUCAGCCACACUGGGACUGAGACACGGCCCAG